AACGCGAAGAACCUUACCUGGGCUCGAACGGCUCACGAACGUCCUUGGAAACAGGGAUUUCCCGCAAGGGACGGGAGUCGAGGUGCUGCAUGGCUGUCGUCAGCUCGUGUCGUGAGAUGUUGGGUUAAGUCCCGCAACGAGCGCAACCCUUGUCCUGUGUUGCCAUGCCGCAAGGCGGCACUCGCAGGAGACCGCCAGCGAUAAGCUGGAGGAAGGUGGGGAUGACGUCAAGUCCUCAUGGCCUUUAUGUCCAGGGCUACACACGUGCUACAAUGGCCGGUACAAAGCGUCGCUAACCCGCGAGGGGGAGCCAAUCGCAAAAAACCGGUCUCAGUUCGGAUUGCAGGCUGCAACUCGCCUGCAUGAAGCUGGAAUCGCUAGUAAUGGCAGAUCAGCACGCUGCCGUGAAUACGUUCCCGGGCCUUGUACACACCGUAGUAC
RNAcentral lists this ribosomal RNA (441 nucleotides) under uncultured bacterium. RNAcentral describes it as "bacterial SSU rRNA". It matches the Rfam family "Bacterial small subunit ribosomal RNA", at positions 958 to 1398 of the family's 1533-position model. The record is from RNAcentral.